This is a long non-coding RNA of Leptonychotes weddellii (Weddell seal), 1136 nucleotides long. RefSeq lists it as uncharacterized. Lineage: Eukaryota; Metazoa; Chordata; Mammalia; Carnivora; Phocidae. The record is from RefSeq and is a predicted model, not a curated record.
UCCAGCCACCCGGCUUCAAACCCCCCUCCCGGCGGUUCAAGUUUCUGCGCCCGGAGGACGCGGCCUUGGCCAAUCCCUGGGCUACAGGGCGCUUUUAAAAUGCAGGUGGUUCCCGUGGCCUGCAUCUCAGUCCUGUGUCUCUCCAGGGCCGGCAGCUUCAGCUGAACUUUCCAAGAGAAAAACGAAGCCUGCAUCUACAUAGGGUUUGUUUGCAGCAUCUACAGACUAUAGGACUAAGAGUCCCCCAGCCAGGACCCACGGUGAAUGCACGACCCUUCAGCACAUGACCAAUUGAAUCUGAGCCCCUCAUUUUGAAGAUGAGGCAACUGAGCCCCAGGAGGCAAAUGACUUGCCCAAGGUCACUUUCGUUCAUUGGUUUACUGAACACACAAACAUAAUUAGUAAUCUCUACUCCCAACAUGGGGCUCAAACUCAUGACCCCAAGACCAAGAGUCGAAUGCUGUACUGACUGAGCCAGCCGGGCAACCCCUGAGUUGAAUCUUGAAGACUCAGAUGACCAUGUGAACUUACGGGUGAUGACCAGAGGCGUGUGGACAUGAAAGGACUCUGGUACGGAUAGCCGGGGGAAGAUUGCCCAAUGGCUGAAUGUUUCUGCAGGCCAGCACAGCGAUGGUGACUGACCGGGCCUGGGGCCGGAUUCUGGGGUUUCUUCUCUGGCCCCCCUGGGGGACCCUGUAAGAGGGGAGUCACCAUGUAGGGCUGAAAGGCCUCCAUGCCUAAGAAAUCAGGGCCCAUGUAAAAGCGGCCAUAAUUGUUUUUAUUAAAAGAUUAUAUAUUUAUUUGAGAGAGAGCAUGGGGAGGGGAGGGGCAGUGGGAGAGGGAGAAGCAGACUUCCGGCAGAUUGAGCCCCUUUGGUUCCUAGGGUGGAAGGCCCCAUUAGGGACCAAUUGGGAGAUGUCUGCAUCUGCACCACUCCCUUCCCAGCUAGAGCCACUGAAAUUCUCUCCUCCCCCUUCAGCUGCUGACAUCCCCUCAUACCAUUGCCCUGAGGAGCAAGGUAGGAAGGAGGCUCAACCACAAGGGAAACUGAGUCAGGGAGCUCUUUGCAAGACUACCUCUUACCUUAACACACUUAAAAACAUUAUUCUUGGGGCACCUGGGUGGCACAGUCAGUU